UUGGAGGGCAAGUCUGGUGCCAGCAGCCGCGGUAAUUCCAGCUCCAAUAGCGUAUAUUAAAGUUGUUGCAGUUAAAAAGCUCGUAGUUGAAUUUCGGAAUCAAUUUGUUGGUCGUGCCUCGGUACGUACUGGUAUUAUUGGUUUCUACCUUCUGAAGAACCUUGAUGUCAUUAAUUUGGUGUCUUGGGGAAUCAGGACUGUUACUUUGAAAAAAUUAGAGUGUUUAAAGCAAGCAUACGCUUGAAUACAUUAGCGUGGAAUAAUGAAAUAGGACGUUUGAUUCUAUUUUGUUGGUUUCUAGGAUCGACGUAAUGAUUAAUAGGGAUAGUUGGGGGCAUUAGUAUUCAAUUGUCAGAGGUGAAAUUCUUGGAUUUAUUGAAGACUAACUACUGCGAAAGCAUUUGCCAAGGAUGUUUUCAUUAAUCAAGAACGAAAGUUAGGGAAUCGAAGACGAUCAGAUACCGUCGUAGUCUUAACCAUAAACUAUGCCGACUAGGGAUCGGAUGAUGUUAAUUUUUUAAUGACUCAUUCGGCGCCUUACGGGAAACCAAAGUGUUUGGGUUC
Molecule: ribosomal RNA, 564 nt
Filed under: uncultured Glomeromycotina
Lineage: Eukaryota; Fungi; Glomeromycota
Description: SSU rRNA
Rfam family: Eukaryotic small subunit ribosomal RNA
Source: RNAcentral